AGAGACACUCAAACACCAUCCUCGCACAUAAUGAUGGAAUAGAAAAAAUUUUCCCAAGAAAAAAAAAUCUAAGAAAUUAGAAAAGAAGAUUGAAAGAAACUAGACAUUAAUAGGUGUAAAGGAUGAGCAAAUAACCUUAUUUUCUUUUCCAAGAAGCCAAAGCAGGGUAUUCCUUUCAAAUGAAACAGUUUUUUGCAUUACAUUCUGCUCAUUAAAACCUGAAUCUAUAUCUACUUUUCCAUCUUCCAAUGCCAAUCUUAGAAUUAGUAUCUCCUUACACCACCAUUCCCAUUCUUCAUUUUCAAAUCACCAUCUGCGACAACAUUUUUGCUCAUUGAAAAUGGAAAGAAAAAUGGCCUCCUUGAAGAAUCCCCAGUUGAUUUUUAUUUAUGCUUCUCCUUGUCCCUUUCUAAGCCAAAUCUUUGAUUUAG
RNAcentral lists this unclassified non-coding RNA (431 nucleotides) under Hevea brasiliensis (rubber tree). The record is from RNAcentral. Lineage: Eukaryota; Viridiplantae; Streptophyta; Magnoliopsida; Malpighiales; Euphorbiaceae.